Molecule: ribosomal RNA, 253 nt
Filed under: uncultured bacterium
Lineage: Bacteria
Description: partial 16S ribosomal RNA
Rfam family: Bacterial small subunit ribosomal RNA
Source: RNAcentral
UACGGGGGGAGCAAGCGUUGUUCGGAAUUACUGGGCGUAAAGGGCUUGUAGGUGGCUUGUUAAGUCAGACGUGAAAUCCCUCAGCUUAACUGGGGAACUGCGUCUGAUACUGGCGAGCUUGAGUGCAGGAGAGGAACGCGGAAUUCCAGGUGUAGCGGUGAAAUGCGUAGAUAUCUGGAGGAACACCGGUGGCGAAGGCGGCGUUCUGGACUGCAACUGACACUGAGAAACGAAAGCCAGGGUAGCAAACGGG